RNAcentral lists this ribosomal RNA (886 nucleotides) under uncultured bacterium. Its description in RNAcentral is "bacterial SSU rRNA". It matches the Rfam family "Bacterial small subunit ribosomal RNA", at positions 8 to 853 of the family's 1533-position model. The record is from RNAcentral.
AGAGUUUGAUCCUGGCUCAGGACGAACGCUGGCGGCGUGCCUAAUACAUGCAAGUCGAGCGAGCUUGCCUAGAUGAUUUUAGUGCUUGCACUAAAUGAAACUAGGUACAAGCGAGCGGCGGACGGGUGAGUAACACGUGGGUAACCUACCCAAGAGACUGGGAUAACACCUGGAAACAGAUGCUAAUACCGGAUAACAACACUAGGCGCAUGUCUAGAGUUUGAAAGAUGGUUCUGCUAUCACUCUUGGAUGGACCUGCGGUGCAUUAGCUAGUUGGUAAGGUAACGGCUUACCAAGGCAAUGAUGCAUAGCCGAGUUGAGAGACUGAUCGGCCACAUUGGGACUGAGACACGGCCCAAACUCCUACGGGAGGCAGCAGUAGGGAAUCUUCCACAAUGGACGAAAGUCUGAUGGAGCAACGCCGCGUGAGUGAAGAAGGGUUUCGGCUCGUAAAGCUCUGUUGGUAGUGAAGAAAGAUAGAGGUAGUAACUGGCCUUUAUUUGACGGUAAUUACUUAGAAAGUCACGGCUAACUACGUGCCAGCAGCCGCGGUAAUACGUAGGUGGCAAGCGUUGUCCGGAUUUAUUGGGCGUAAAGCGAGUGCAGGCGGUUCAAUAAGUCUGAUGUGAAAGCCUUCGGCUCAACCGGAGAAUUGCAUCAGAAACUGUUGAACUUGAGUGCAGAAGAGGAGAGUGGAACUCCAUGUGUAGCGGUGGAAUGCGUAGAUAUAUGGAAGAACACCAGUGGCGAAGGCGGCUCUCUGGUCUGCAACUGACGCUGAGGCUCGAAAGCAUGGGUAGCGAACAGGAUUAGAUACCCUGGUAGUCCAUGCCGUAAACGAUGAGUGCUAAGUGUUGGGAGGUUUCCGCCUCUCAGUGCUGCAGCU